Molecule: transfer RNA, 73 nt
Filed under: Fimbriimonas ginsengisoli Gsoil 348
Lineage: Bacteria; Bacillati; Armatimonadota; Fimbriimonadia; Fimbriimonadales; Fimbriimonadaceae
Rfam family: tRNA
About the family: Transfer RNA (tRNA) molecules are approximately 80 nucleotides in length. Their secondary structure includes four short double-helical elements and three loops (D, anti-codon, and T loops). Further hydrogen bonds mediate the characteristic L-shaped molecular structure. tRNAs have two regions of fundamental functional importance: the anti-codon, which is responsible for specific mRNA codon recognition, and the 3' end, to which the tRNAs corresponding amino acid is attached (by aminoacyl-tRNA synthetases). tRNAs cope with the degeneracy of the genetic code in two manners: having more than one tRNA (with a specific anti-codon) for a particular amino acid; and 'wobble' base-pairing, i.e. permitting non-standard base-pairing at the 3rd anti-codon position.
Source: Rfam by way of RNAcentral
GGGGGUAUAGCUCAGUCGGUAGAGCAUCGGACUUUUAAUCCGUGUGUCCUGGGUUCGAGUCCCAGUGCCCCCA